GAUACGUGUGUUUCCUCUCCUUCCUGGGAGAGGCAUUUCUUCAUCCCACUAAGCUGUUGGCUUAAAUAUUCAUCAAGCCCUUUCCCACCAUCAGUAAAUAAGCUCCACAAACUCCUGCCACUGCUAAUGGAUCUCUCUGCCCCACUCUCUCCUCAUCCCUCCCGCUCUUCCGUUUACCUUGUCUUCCCAGAGAAUAACUGUGAUGGUAAAGGCUGUGAGUGACUCAGUUUCCAGUGCAUGCUUUCCGCCUCCCCUUUUGAAGAUGAACUUGAAGACACUAAGUCAGCUACAGGACCUUUCUGGCCCCUGAAAUAUCACCAUCAGAAAAGUCCAGGAUGGGACUCCGCCAGCGCACAGACAGAAGCAGCUGAAUCAGUGGGUGGUGGCGCCCAGGGAAAGGACACAGGAAACUUUGAGGAGUCCUGCUGAUGGUUUCUUCCCAUAUUUGAAUGAAACACAAAACAAAAAGCUUCAAGCGCCAAGGAGUAGGCAGGUAUGUUUAUGCUGAUGCUAUCUAUAGCUGGUAUUUAUUUGGUUGUUAGGGAAUGGGUUGCGUCCUGCUGCGAACUUUGAAAUUAUGGAACUUUAGAAUGAAUGUUA
This 600-nucleotide long non-coding RNA is filed under the name Bos indicus x Bos taurus (hybrid cattle). Its description in RNAcentral is "lncRNA (ENSBIXG00005011374.1)". Lineage: Eukaryota; Metazoa; Chordata; Mammalia; Artiodactyla; Bovidae. The record is from RNAcentral.